UUUCUCUCACUUCCUCACUCUUUCUUCUUCCUGUUUUUUUCUUCAGUCCUUCCUGAUUCUUUUUUUUCUGAACUAUUAUUCCUGAUUUUAUAAGUUUAUAUUCUCUUUGAUUUUAACAUAUUGUGUCAAUCUAAAAGGUGAGAAACAAUCAUCAUCCAUGGUGACUGGCAAUCUGAAGAAGAUAGCUUCCAUUGAUGCUCAGCACAUACUAAUUGCUC
RNAcentral lists this long non-coding RNA (218 nucleotides) under Brassica rapa (field mustard). RNAcentral describes it as "long non-coding RNA (BRAP_LNC004224)". The record is from RNAcentral. Lineage: Eukaryota; Viridiplantae; Streptophyta; Magnoliopsida; Brassicales; Brassicaceae.